UAGUGAGUAGGAGACAAGGAUG
This 22-nucleotide unclassified non-coding RNA is filed under the name Mus musculus (house mouse). Its description in RNAcentral is "oocyte_clustered_small_RNA11635". Lineage: Eukaryota; Metazoa; Chordata; Mammalia; Rodentia; Muridae. The record is from RNAcentral.